This 69-nucleotide transfer RNA is filed under the name Xenogryllus marmoratus. RNAcentral describes it as "tRNA-Gln". The record is from RNAcentral. Lineage: Eukaryota; Metazoa; Arthropoda; Insecta; Orthoptera; Gryllidae.
UAUGUUUUAAUAUAUGAUGUAUAGAGAAUUUUGAAUUCUUAAGAAAUAGUUUAAUUCUAUUAGGCAUAA